This is a microRNA precursor of Medicago truncatula (barrel medic), 166 nucleotides long. It matches the Rfam family "MIR2619 microRNA precursor family". NCBI's taxonomy places the organism in Eukaryota, Viridiplantae, Streptophyta, Magnoliopsida, Fabales, Fabaceae. The record is from Rfam.
AAACAGUCUCCUAUGUUUUGAUUCUUUGGCAGUUUUGGACCCCCAAGGCAAAAAAAAAAAAAUUGACACGUGGCACCUCACUUAGGGUGCCACGUCAGUGUUGACCGAGUCAACAAUUGACUGGGAGUCCAAAACUGCCAAAGAAUCAAAACAUAGAGGGCUGUUU